Molecule: long non-coding RNA, 1353 nt
Organism: Xiphophorus couchianus (Monterrey platyfish)
Lineage: Eukaryota; Metazoa; Chordata; Actinopteri; Cyprinodontiformes; Poeciliidae
Exons: 2
Source: RefSeq, a predicted model, not a curated record
CAGCAGUGAAGGGAGGCCUUGAGAAUAAUCCUCUGGCAUCAAACAUUGGCUUUGCACUGAUCCUUCUCUGCUUUGAGAAAAUUGUAGAGUUGGAGUUUGUUUGUCCCUGUCAGUCAAAACAGAAUGCUGUCUCUGUGUUAUCAUUUUUCUUAGCUCCAGCAUUGAUUGUCUUUAUGCUCAUGAUUAAAACAGAUUGUCUGUGUCCGUGUAAAUCAUGUGUGCAAAAUGUCCUUGGUGGUGUAGUUCCUGCUGUAACAUGGUGUAUAAUACUGUUAAUAGAUGGUCGUUAUUAUGCCUGUUUUUGGACCAACUGGUCAGGAUACUAUGAACUUAGUGAGACUGCUUCCCCUCUGAAAUGGUGUAAACCAUUUAAUUUAUCUCAUGAAGAAGAGAUCCAGACUCUGGAGUGGUACUCCACGUCACAGGUCAUUGGACUCUGGGUUGCAGUUGGUCUCACUCUAGUUUUUAAGGUCUAUUUGUUCUGUAUGUCCUUCUGCUGCAAACAUCAAGAAAGAACAGACGGUGUAAAUCCCUCUCAAGACAUCCAUCUACAGGUGCAGAACAGAGAAUGACAGAAAUUAAGAAAAGAAAACAAUCACAUUUGGUGGGAGGACUACCAAUUUGAACAAUCAGACAUAAUGCAGAAAAUCUAGAGUAACGUUAAAAUAUCUUCCAAUUAUUCAAGUGCUAUGGCAGAUAAUAAAACAUUUGUAAGAUAUACUAAAUUUACUUCUAGUUAUAACAAAACAAUGUCUUUACUUUCAAAAUGUUAUGUUAAAUGGUUUGUUAGAAUAUUAAUGCAUGAUAUUUCUUGUUUAGAUCAUUUAUUGUAUUAUACAUUCUAACUUACUUUUUUGCUUCUUAAACAUAUUUACAUUAUAUUCUGUAUAAUUUUGAAAUCAUCAUAUUCAAGUCCAAGGUGUUGUUGCCCUGUUACAGAGACUCUUUUCCGUGUGUCUAGCUUGAUGCUUUGGGUGUGGCUUCAUGUUGAACCUGAGCAUACAGCUAAACAAAUCUACUUAUUCAAAUCCUCCAUUGUUUCGGGAAAGAUUGAAAUUUAAUCAUGUUUAUUUUUUUAUUUUCAUUUUCCAAGUUGCAGGAAACCAGCUUUAAAUAACCUUCGCCUCCACUCUGACUUUUCUAAAUAAAAUUCAUUGCAACAAAUUGCUCUUUCUAAAUUAAUUAAAAUAAGAGUCUACCUAUUUGUGUUCUGUGAAGGCAUCAAGGGUUUAGUAGAGAACAUUAGACAUCAAGCGGCAUCACAAAACCUGAACAACUUUGAGGGUUUAUAGUUAAAAAAACCUCACUUAACAAAAACAAAUAAACUCCACUAAACAGGUCAUUUACAUUUUA